RNAcentral lists this small nuclear RNA (100 nucleotides) under Fukomys damarensis (Damara mole-rat). Its description in RNAcentral is "U2 spliceosomal RNA". It matches the Rfam family "U2 spliceosomal RNA". Rfam says of the family: U2 is a small nuclear RNA (snRNA) component of the spliceosome (involved in pre-mRNA splicing). Lineage: Eukaryota; Metazoa; Chordata; Mammalia; Rodentia; Bathyergidae. The record is from Rfam by way of RNAcentral.
AUCGCUUCUCAGCCUUUUGGCUAAGAUCAAGUGUAAUAUCUGUCACUUAUUUUCUUUCUAGGUCAUUCCACCAGCCACAAAUGUGGGAUAGAGACCCAUU